RNAcentral lists this ribosomal RNA (566 nucleotides) under uncultured bacterium. RNAcentral describes it as "partial 16S ribosomal RNA". It matches the Rfam family "Bacterial small subunit ribosomal RNA", at positions 355 to 914 of the family's 1533-position model. The record is from RNAcentral.
UGGGGAAUUUUGGACAAUGGGCGAAAGCCUGAUCCAGCAAUGCCGCGUGUGUGAAGAAGGCCUUCGGGUUGUAAAGCACUUUUGUCCGGAAAGAAAUCCUUGGCUCUAAUACAGUCGGGGGAUGACGGUACCGGAAGAAUAAGCACCGGCUAACUACGUGCCAGCAGCCGCGGUAAUACGUAGGGUGCAAGCGUUAAUCGGAAUUACUGGGCGUAAAGCGUGCGCAGGCGGUUUGCUAAGACCGAUGUGAAAUCCCCGGGCUCAACCUGGGAACUGCAUUGGUGACUGGCAGGCUAGAGUAUGGCAGAGGGGGGUAGAAUUCCACGUGUAGCAGUGAAAUGCGUAGAGAUGUGGAGGAAUACCGAUGGCGAAGGCAGCCCCCUGGGCCAAUACUGACGCUCAUGCACGAAAGCGUGGGGAGCAAACAGGAUUAGAUACCCUGGCAGUCCACGCCCUAAACGAUGUCAACUAGUUGUUGGGGAUUCAUUUCCUUAGUAACGUAGCUAACGCGUGAAGUUGACCGCCUGGGGAGUACGGUCGCAAGAUUAAAACUCAAAGGAAUUGAC